UGAGGAAUAUUGCGCAAUGGGGGCAACCCUGACGCAGCAACGCCGCGUGAGUGAGGAAGGUUUUCGGACCGUAAAGCUCUGUCGAGCGGGAAGAAAUGCAUAGUGGCUAAUAUCCAUUAUGCUUGACGGUACCGCUAAAGGAAGCACCGGCUAACUCCGUGCCAGCAGCCGCGGUAAUACGGGGGGUGCUAGCGUUGUUCGGAAUCAUUGGGCGUAAAGAGCGUGUAGGCGGCUGGAUAAGUCAGAUGUGAAAGCCCUGGGCUUAACCCAGGAAGUGCAUUUGAAACUGUUCAGCUUGAGUAAGGGAGAGGAAAGUGGAAUUCCUGGUGUAGAGGUGAAAUUCGUAGAUAUCAGGAGGAAUACCGGUGGCGAAGGCGACUUUCUGGCCCUAUACUGACGCUGAGACGCGAGAGCGUGGGUAGCAAACAG
RNAcentral lists this ribosomal RNA (429 nucleotides) under uncultured bacterium. RNAcentral describes it as "bacterial SSU rRNA". It matches the Rfam family "Bacterial small subunit ribosomal RNA", at positions 355 to 775 of the family's 1533-position model. The record is from RNAcentral.